RNAcentral lists this ribosomal RNA (551 nucleotides) under uncultured bacterium. RNAcentral's name for it is "bacterial SSU rRNA". It matches the Rfam family "Bacterial small subunit ribosomal RNA", at positions 355 to 896 of the family's 1533-position model. The record is from RNAcentral.
UAGGGAAUCUUCGGCAAUGGGGGCAACCCUGACCGAGCAACGCCGCGUGAGUGAAGAAGGUUUUCGGAUCGUAAAGCUCUGUUGUAAGUCAAGAACGAGUGUGAGAGUGGAAAGUUCACACUGUGACGGUAGCUUACCAGAAAGGGACGGCUAACUACGUGCCAGCAGCCGCGGUAAUACGUAGGUCCCGAGCGUUGUCCGAAUUUAUUGGGCGUAAAGCGAGCGCAGGCGGUUUGAUAAGUCUGAAGUUAAAGGCUGUGGCUCAACCAUAGUUCGCUUUGGAAACUGUCAAACUUGAGUGCAGAAGGGGAGAGUGGAAUUCCAUGUGUAGCGGUGAAAUGCGUAGAUAUAUGGAGGAACACCGGUGGCGAAAGCGGCUCUCUGGUCUGUAACUGACGCUGAGGCUCGAAAGCGUGGGGAGCGAACAGGAUUAGAUACCCUGGUAGUCCACGCCGUAAACGAUGAGUGCUAGGUGUUGGAUCCUUUCCGGGAUUCAGUGCCGCAGCUAACGCAUUAAGCACUCCGCCUGGGGAGUACGACANGCAAGGUUG